GAUGAACGCUAGCGGCAGGCUUAAUACAUGCAAGUCGUGGGGCAGCAGGACUGUAGCAAUACACUUGCUGGCGCCCGGCACACGUGUGCGGCACACGUACGCAACUUACCCUGAACUGGGGGAUCGCCCGGGGAAACCCGGAUUAAUACCCCGUAAUAUAAUGGCGUGUCAUCCCUUUAUUAUUAACGCUCCGGCGGUUCGGUAUGGGCGUGCGGCUGAUUAGGUAGUUGGUUGAGGUAACGGCUCACCAAGCCUACGAUCAGUAACUGGUGUGAGAGCACGACCAGUCAGACGGGAACUGAGACACGGGCCCGACUCGUACGGGAGGCAGCAGUAAGGAAUACUGGGCAAUGGAGGCAACUCUGACCAAGCCAUGCCGCGUGGAGGAUGAAGGCGAUCUGGGUUGUAAACUUCUUGGAAAGGGGACGAAACCUGUGUAUUCUUACGGAGUUGACGGUACCCAAGGAAUAAGCACCGGCUAACUACGUG
Molecule: ribosomal RNA, 489 nt
Filed under: uncultured bacterium
Lineage: Bacteria
Description: partial 16S ribosomal RNA
Rfam family: Bacterial small subunit ribosomal RNA
Source: RNAcentral